GAGUAACACGUGGGUAACCUGCCAAUCAGAAGGGGAUAACACUUGGAAACAGGUGCUAAUACCGUAUAACAAUCGAAACCGCAUGGUUUUGAUUUGAAAGGCGCUUUCGGGUGUCGCUGAUGGAUGGACCCGCGGUGCAUUAGCUAGUUGGUGAGGUAACGGCUCACCAAGGCGACGAUGCAUAGCCGACCUGAGAGGGUGAUCGGCCACAUUGGGACUGAGACACGGCCCAACUCCUACGGGAGGCAGCAGUAGGGAAUCUUCGGAAUGGACGAAAGUCUGACCGAGCAACGCCGGGUGAGUGAAGAAGGUUUUCGGAUCGUAAAACUCUGUUGUUAGAGAAGAACAAGGAUGAGAGUAACUGUUCAUCCCUUGACGGUAUCUAACCAGAAAGCCACGGCUAACUACGUGCCAGCAGCCGCGGUAAUACGUAGGUGGCAAGCGUUGUCCGGAUAUAUUGGGCGUAAAGCGAGCGCAGGCGGUUUCUUAAGUCUGAUGUGAAAGCCCCCGGCUCAACCGGGGAGGGUCAUUGGAAACUGGGAGACUUGAGUGCAGAAGCGGAGAGUGGAAUUCCAUGUGUAGCGGUGAAAUGCGUAGAUAUAUGGAGGAACACCAGUGGCGAAGGCGGCUCUCUGGUCUGUAACUGACGCUGAGGCUCGAAAGCGUGGAGCAAACAGGAUUAGAUACCCUGGUAGUCCACGCCGUAAACGAUGAGUGCUAAGUGUUGGAGGGUUUCCGCCCUUCAGUGCUGCAGCUAA
Molecule: ribosomal RNA, 758 nt
Filed under: Enterococcus hirae
Lineage: Bacteria; Bacillati; Bacillota; Bacilli; Lactobacillales; Enterococcaceae
Description: bacterial SSU rRNA
Rfam family: Bacterial small subunit ribosomal RNA
Source: RNAcentral